Molecule: long non-coding RNA, 3619 nt
Organism: Tupaia belangeri chinensis (Chinese tree shrew)
Lineage: Eukaryota; Metazoa; Chordata; Mammalia; Scandentia; Tupaiidae
Exons: 5
Source: RefSeq, a predicted model, not a curated record
CCCAGACACAUCGCGGCGUUCACAGGAUACCGGCCCCCGGGAGAUAAGAGCUGGCCGGGAACAAUGACGGGGUCCACGCCCAGCGUCCGCCCUGAUUCCCGCAGCCGGCAGCCCCCACCGACACCUUCCCCCAAAUCCAGAGCCAAACGCCUUUGCCCUCUUUCCUUUCCCGGGGCCAAGGCCGGAGGUGGCCCUCCUGACUCAUUCACUUUCCGUUUCUUCCCACAGAUACGUUCAUUAAUGCUUUUUCCAGCCCGAGGCGCACGUUGGGGGUGGUGGAUCGGCGGGAGCGUUUACCAGGGCUGGGGGGAACCUGGCGCCCGCUGCGGGGACCAUCCGGACGCUGACUACGUCCUGAGCAAACCGACCGUUACAAAGCGCGUCCGAUGGGGUUUUUCCACUCGGCCCUCCGCCGCCGAGACGCGGCAGACUCCGGAGCGGCUCGCUAGACCCUCGACGCGGACUCCGGGCGGUGGAGGCUGACCCGCACCGUCGCGGGCGCGGCCUCCACUUGGGGCGUAUUGUUAGAAGGGCGCCCUCGGGGCGGCCCUGGGCGCGGGCGCCCGCGGGUGGCGGGAACCGGGCACCUAGGCCCCCUAGCUGCAUCUUCCCGGGUCAAGCCCUUCGCACUUGCUGGAGCUCUGACUCCUGAGCCAGAAUCGCCCUUCCGAGAGCACCCCAGCCCCAAGAAGCUGACCCUGUGGCAGCACGGUCCCUCCAUGGGCGUCGGCGGGUCCCGGGCGCAGCACGCAGCCGCUCCGCACAGAUCCGGACUUGGCCCUGGGAGAGACCCGGGCGCCCGCGCUCCGGACAGUCAUCCUCACCCAGCCCCGAGGCGGCCUCACCUCGUGCCAACGCGCCCUCCUGGCCCACCUGGAGACCCCCGGGGCCCUGCCCCGCCGCCGCGCGCUCAGAUUCCUCCCGGGGACAAAGAAAAAAAUCCAGAGGAGAUCCGAGUCAAUUGAAAAAAUAACUUUCAAAAGGGUGUCCACAGCAGCGAAAAAGCCCAGACUCUACCGACCUUCAAACGACAACAGGGCUUUCAGGAGGGUGCGGGGAGAAGCUUCCCACAGGCCCUCACCAGAAACCUGCACCCUGGCCACACUGCUUCUCCUUCAGCCAGAAAGGACUCCACCCCCACCAGCAGAAGCCCCUUCCCAGUGCUGGCCCACCCCGCUGCACAGGCCAGCUAGGGGCCACCUCAUGUGUGGGGACCACCCCCCUCUGCUCCCUGGGCUCCUCAGAAGGAAGGCACCCCUGGGUGACGCUUGUCUUCCCGACUCAGGUGGUCUGGGAAAGACCUCCCUGCACUGGGCACCAGCAGGGCUGGGCUCCAUUCCCACCAGGUGCUGCUCCCCCUGGAGGUGAUCACUAUGAAGCUAGACUGGAGGGGCCUUGCCCCUGCUUUGCCUGUGGAACCCCAUGGCACUUUCUGUUUCUGCCUGUAAGACGAAGCUGUGGCAACUGCGUGACUCUGGAGAUGAAGGAGGGAGGCUGGCACAGCCCUGCCCUGGGCAGAGCACAGGCAUCCUCGUUCCUCUGUGACUCAGGACUGGCCCUGGUGCCACCCCUCCUGCUGUCAUGAGGAGCCCCUGUCCACCCUGGUCUCCACCCAGCCAGAGGAGCCCGAGCUGCACAGGUCUCGGGGAAUCUCAGACCCCAGGUCCAGGGGGACAGGCUGGGGUGAGUGUGCCCCCAUGUAACCCGGGUUGAUGCUCAUUUCUGCAGCUGCUGCCAUUUUUUUUUUAACUUUUUAAAAUCCCGGAGGGGGGGAAGCCCUAACCAAACACAACAGUAAACAAGUCUGCCCUGUUUAAUGUGGUUACCACCAGACAUCUGGAAAGAUGGUUUGAUCCUGGCUGCUCACAUUGUUUUCGCGAGCAGCCAAAGAGAAUAUUUUGAAUGUUUGCAUUGAGACAAAUUGAUAGAGAGCCUGCGGUGAGGCCGCUACAAAUGAAACGUCUUGUGCUGAGGGGCUCCCCCUUCCCUCUCCUCUUCUCCCUCCUCCCUGCUGCCCCUUCCCUCCUCCCUCUCCCAGGUCUGCUGUUCAAACUUGGAGAUGUCUGCCACCACCCCACCCACGCUCACAACCAGGUCGCUGGGUCCCCGACACUGUGGGCCUAGCCCUCAGAGCCGAGAGCCGGGCUGGUGCGCAGCCCAGGCGAGCCAGCCUGAGAGGAGGGCUGCAGGCAGGCACGCCCACCAGCAUUUAAGGCAGAAGCUGCCUAGGACUGCUGCAGACAAGAUCCCAACCAGAAAAGGACCCGCCCAGGUUUCUAAGUCUCUGUCACUUACAGACGCAUGUGACUGGGGGUGAAUAUUCAGGAAAUAUCCGGAUUUGGGGAUUUUCACUGGGAAAUUGGUGAGAAGACUUUCCUCUCUUGCACCUGGACAAAAUUUCCAAGAUGUGGACGUCCUGUCUCUCCGGGGAGGGAGUGGUGGGGCCAAGAGUUUCUCAGCUGGCUCAAGGUCAACCCUUUUGACCUGGGCCAAGACUUUCUAGAAGGGCUUCCCGGGCUCCCCAGGUCCCAGCCAGGGUUGGGUGUGCCAGGACUGGACCAGCGACCAGCGACCAGCGACCACCAGAGGGGGGUCCCUGGGGUGUCCCAGGUUCGGGUAGCUCGGUCAUUGGAAACUCCAAAGGAUGCCAGGCCUGGCAGAGUGUUCCGGGCGGGCCCAUGCCCCUCCAAACUCCUGGGUCCUCCCACAGGCUUGGGGCCAGCAUGGCGCAGCGGGUAUCCGAGCUGGCAGCCGGAGGGGAGGGAGGGCAGGCCACGGGAGCAGCGGGGCGGGGGCCAAAACUCCAGACUGCACAACUGCAGCUUCAAGUGUCUGGCCUCUCGCUCGAGGCCAUAAUUAAUUUGAGAUUUAUUUUUAUUGGAGAACCAGAGUCUCGUCUGACCUUAGCCAAACAAGGCAGCUCGGGCCGCCCUGGAUGCGCUUGAAUGCCGGGGAAUAUUUCGGCAGGAAGGCUCUGCAGGCGCGCCUGCUUUGAAUUUGUUUCUCAGACUUCAUCUACUCACAGAUUGGAGGAAGAUUUAGAGCCUCCGCUCGCCCUGCCCGCUCCCCACGCUGGUUCUGGCCUUAGCACUAGCGAGUUCAAAACGCUACGUGGGAGGCCCGCGGCAGCGGGAGGGUGAGGGCUAGGGCCCAGGAGGGGGAGGGUCUCAGUGCCUGAGCCCCAGGCGCUCCGGGCAGGCCCACAGACCACGAGGCGUCGAGGAGGAAACCCCAAGAGAGUCUCAGCUGACCAGAGAAUGAAGGCUGACCAGAUGUGAAGACCAGCCAGGGCACUGUAACUGCGUCUUCUUCUCAAAGCCCGCUGGUAGAGUUGAUGGGAGUGUCCAGAACCUGCCAGGCCAGCACUUGGCCUUGUCCGCACUGAGGCUGUGCCCCUUGCCAGCUCUGUGACCAUCCCUGCUCAACGCCUUGGUUUCUCUACAAAACGGCUGCCUCUCAGGGCCAAGGCUUGUUUAAAUGAUCUAAUCUUAGAAUCCGCUCCGCACCUCCUGGGGACCGUGGGUUCAUCCACGCGCUCACCGACGACUGAUACAUUAUACACGCGCUUUCGGCCCACCUCUCAGUCCUGGAGGACCGGCCACGGCCAUGCCCCCGGGUC